Molecule: ribosomal RNA, 373 nt
Filed under: uncultured bacterium
Lineage: Bacteria
Description: bacterial SSU rRNA
Rfam family: Bacterial small subunit ribosomal RNA
Source: RNAcentral
AACGAACGUUGGCGGCAUGGAUUAGGCAUGCAAGUCGCGGGAAUCCAGCAAUGGGGAACCGGCGUAAGGGCAGUAAGGCAUGGGUAUCUACCCAGGGGUUCGGAAUAGCCACCAGAGAUGGUGGGUAAUACCGGAUGACGUCGUGAGACCAAAGGUCCGCCGCCCUUGGAGGAGCCCAUGUGAUAUUAGCUAGUUGGUGAGGUAACGGCUCACCAAGGCGAAGAUGUCUAGCGGGUGUGAGAGCACGACCCGCGCCACUCGCACUGAGACACUGGCGAGACACCUACGGGUGGCUGCAGUCGAGGAUCUUCGGCAAUGGGGGCAACCCUGACCGAGCGAUGCCGCGUGCGCGAUGAAGGCCUUCGGUUGUAAG